GUGAUGCGGUCAGGGUUACGGUGAGAGGUGACCGGGGCGCUUGGGCUGA
RNAcentral lists this small nucleolar RNA (49 nucleotides) under Pyrobaculum arsenaticum DSM 13514. RNAcentral describes it as "PARsR63". Lineage: Archaea; Thermoproteati; Thermoproteota; Thermoprotei; Thermoproteales; Thermoproteaceae. RNAcentral also lists the same sequence under 1 other name. The record is from RNAcentral.